CAGUAGCCACGGGAAAACGAAGGGGGCUAGCGUUGUUCGGAAUUACUGGGCGUAAAGCGCGCGCAGGCGGUCUUCCAAGUCAGUGGUGAAAGCCCGGAGCUCAACUCCGGAAAUGCCAUUGAAACUGUAAGACUUGAGGAUGAGAGAGGUGAGUGGAAUUCCCAGUGUAGAGGUGAAAUUCGUAGAUAUUGGGAAGAACACCGGUGGCGAAGGCGGCUCACUGGCUCAUUUCUGACGCUCAGGCGCGACAGCGUGGGGAUCAAACAGGAUUAGAUACCCCUGUAGUCCCUGUCUCUUAUAC
Molecule: ribosomal RNA, 301 nt
Filed under: uncultured bacterium
Lineage: Bacteria
Description: partial 16S ribosomal RNA
Rfam family: Bacterial small subunit ribosomal RNA
Source: RNAcentral